CGAGCUAUACAAGAAAGGAUGGGAUACUUCGAAGAAUGAAUAUACCACCAUUGAAGAAUGUUGAAAUUGUCUCUGCGAUCGAAUGUUUCUUCCUCCAAGUAUCUAUCAAGCUCAUUAGCAGAUUGGCGUUGCUUCUGGUGCAAGUGUUGAUCCCAAUCUGCCAAAGGAUCAUUCUCUUCAAUCAUAACCUCAUCAUUUUUCUGUCCUUGAGUUGACUCACCCAAUGCAUCUGCCAUUUGUGAAGAAUAUUCUUCAAACAGGCUGUUAAGAGCUUUUUUCACAGCAUCCAAGUGUUUCUCUAUAUCAGAACCAAAGGCUUGUUUUAAACGAAACUCAACGAAGCUUAGUUUGAAUCGAGGAUCAAGGAUCACAGCUAUACAAUUUGGCAAAUAUGACUCGGUCCAGUAUUUGUCAAACUUUGCUUGCAUCACAACAACCAUUGCUCGAAUAACAUCAUUCUCUGACGAUGCUUCCUUCUGAAGUAACACUCUCACAUUCCAUAUUUGAUGGAAGUACAUAUUUGAGGUAGGAUAACUUGAACCAGAAACUACUUCUGUGGCUGUGUGAAAGACUCUUAACAUAGCACAAACAGUUUCAGCUCUUUUCCACUCUUCCGAUGAUGGACAUAAUUUGUAAUCCUUGUCCCGUCUAACCAAAGUACGAAAUGCUCUUCGAAAUGGGAGAGAUGACUCUAACAUAAGAAAGGUGGAAUUCCAACGCGUUGGCACAUCGACUAAGGGGAGUUUGCAAGAAAUACCAACUUCUGCAAUUACUGCUUUGAACUUAUCCAACCGAGAGGGGGAACUCUUAACAUACUUUGCACUCUCUCUUAUAUUAUCUAUCACACCUUUCAUCACUAUCAACCCAUCUUGGACAAUCAAAUUUAGCACAUGGCAUGCACAACGAAUGUGAAAUAAUUGACCUUCAAUAGGCAACAUAUGCUUGCUGUUCAGAUUUUUUCUUAGAUAGUCAACCAUUGUGCCAUUAACAGCUACAUUGUCUAAUGUUGUACUAAAGAGUUUGUCUUCAAUAUUCCAAUCUUGCAAACUCUUUAACAAUACAUAAAACAUUGAUAUUCCAUUAUGUGGAGUCUCUACCAUAAAAAACCUUAUGAUCUGUUUUCUCAAAGCCCAAUUUGAGACAAAAUGGCAAGUUAUGCAUAGAUAUGACAAAGUUUGAUUAGACGUCCACAUAUCAGUUGUUAAAGAGACUCUGCCUCUAUAUUUCUUGAAACCUUCACAGAAUUUUAAUCUCUCUUGAUUAAAUUGUUCCAUGCAAUCAUCUUUAAUAGUACCUCUAGAAACCAUGCUAAACAAGGGAUUCAAGCUUUUCACAAAGUCUCGAAAGCCACUAUACUCAACAAAUGAGAAAGGCAACUCAUCCAUUACUAUCAUUCUAGCCAGCAACUUUCUAGAUGCAAUCUGAUCAAAACUCCAUUGCUGAAGCAUAGAUCCAUGAGGAGAUGAAAUUGAGGACUUCAACUUGUCAACAACAAGGGACAAAUCUGACCUUUUCUCGCAAGCAGCCAAGUGCCUUUGUACACCAUUAGUACCCACGCCACGUCCAGCUGGAAACACCUCAAGACAGUGGUUGCACUGAGCUUUGACAAGUAUGUUACGAUGAUAAAUAGGUUUGGCAUCCCUCCAAACAACAGAAGUUAAUCUUCGUGUCUUGCGGA
Molecule: long non-coding RNA, 1678 nt
Filed under: Hordeum vulgare
Lineage: Eukaryota; Viridiplantae; Streptophyta; Magnoliopsida; Poales; Poaceae
Description: long non-coding RNA (HVUL_LNC010013)
Source: RNAcentral